This 450-nucleotide ribosomal RNA is filed under the name uncultured bacterium. Its description in RNAcentral is "partial 16S ribosomal RNA". It matches the Rfam family "Bacterial small subunit ribosomal RNA", at positions 354 to 796 of the family's 1533-position model. The record is from RNAcentral.
GUGGGGAAUAUUCCGCAAUGGACGAAAGUCUGACGGAGCAACGCCGCGUGAGUGAUGAAGGUUUUCGGACUGUAAAGCUCUGUUGUUUAGGACGAAAGUGCCUGUUGCAAAUAGUUACAGGUAUUGACGGUACUGAACGAGGAAGCGACGGCUAACUACGUGCCAGCAGCCGCGGUAAUACGGAGGUGGCAAGCGUUGUCCGGAAUUAUUGGGCGUAAAGAGCAUGUAGGCGGGAAUCUAAGUCUGUUGUGAAAAUGCGGGGCUCAAGCCCGUAUUGCAAUGGAAACUGGGUUUGUUGAGUGCAGGAGAGGAAAGGGGAAUUCCCAGUGUAGCGGUGAAAUGCGUAGAUAUUGGGAGGAACACCAGUGGCGAAGGCGCCUUUCUGGACUGUGUCUGACGCUGAGAUGCGAAAGCCAGGGUAGCGAACGGGAUUAGAAACCCUUGUAGUCC